This 432-nucleotide ribosomal RNA is filed under the name uncultured bacterium. Its description in RNAcentral is "partial 16S ribosomal RNA". It matches the Rfam family "Bacterial small subunit ribosomal RNA", at positions 29 to 506 of the family's 1533-position model. The record is from RNAcentral.
AACGAACGCUGGCGGCAUGCCUAACACAUGCAAGUCGAACGAGACCUUCGGGUCUAGUGGCGCACGGGUGCGUAACGCGUGGGAACCUGCCCUUAGGUUCGGAAUAACUCCCCGAAAGGGGUGCUAAUACCGGAUAAUGUCUUCGGACCAAAGAUUUAUCGCCUUUGGAUGGGCCCGCGUUGGAUUAGCUAGUUGGUAGGGUAAAAGCCUAAAAAGGCGACGAUUCAUAGCUGGUAUAAGAGGAUGAUCAGCAACACUGGGACUGGGACACGGCCCAGACUCCUACGGGUGGCAGCAGUGGGGACUAUUGGACAAUGGGCGAAAGCCUGAUGCAGCAAUGCCGCGUGAGUGAUGAAGGCCGUAGGGUUGUAAAGCUCUUUUACCCGGGAUGAUAAUGAGAGUACCAGGAGAAUAAGCUCCGGCUAACUCCGU